ACCCAGCUGAGGAGUUCCAGAUAGGACGAAACGCACGUCCUAAAU
This 45-nucleotide non-coding RNA is filed under the name Schistosoma haematobium. Lineage: Eukaryota; Metazoa; Platyhelminthes; Trematoda; Strigeidida; Schistosomatidae. The record is from RNAcentral.